UUGUUCCAUUGACUGUAUGUAUGUAUUUAGCAAGUAAGUAAAUACAUUUCAUGGAAUUAAGAGGACUCAUCAUUCGUAUUCAAGUCUUGAAUUUCUUGUUGUCUGUCACUUGCAUAGAAAAAUGGAUGAUGCCAUCACUCUUUGUUUGGCACAUGUCCUAAGACAAUAGAUGAAUCUUACAUUCUAACAAAUAAUGCACAAUGUCACUUCCAGCAUGACUGUUACUCAAUGUCAAUGAGUGAAAUGGUAAAAAUGCUAAAAAAUUUGCUCCUACUUGUGUACAUAUCUAUAUUUCAUUUUGCUUAACAAGCACAUCUGUAUGUAUGAAAUCUAAUAUGUUAAAAUGUAUGUAUGUAUGUACAUACGUAAUCUAAUGCAUCAUCAUCGCAUCAAUAAUGUGUAAGUAAAUGCAGCUUGGAAAAUAUGGUCUUAAAAUUAUUGAGGAAUGACAUAACUCAUUUAAACGAUGACAUAUGUCUGUCUGUUCUCAUCGCAAGUGUGGUGGCGUUAUCAGCUCAUAAAUACUAAAGUAAAAACUUCUUUGCUUCUAAUAUUUAGCUACUCAGUUAUUUUUCGCAUUUUCAGAGAACAAGUUGCUUGUGCGAAAUGUGUACAUAUGUACGCUGUUUUUCCAAAUAUUUAGAGGAUUCGUUCCACCUAUUUUUACAUCACAAAUAAAGAUCGGAACAAAAUUUUUAUAAAAUGGGUGGAUUUCGUGACUUCCUCUUCCGCGGAAACCUCAUCCAACUCGCCGUAGCUGUCGUUAUUGGUACAGCAUUUACAAAUGUGAUCACCGCUAUUACGACGGGAAUGGUGACGCCGUUACUGGGAAUAUUUGGGGGUCAACCGAACUUCAACGAGCUGUAUUUCUCCUUGAACGGAUCCCAAUUCAAGUACGGAUCCGUUAUCGACUCGUUGAUCACGUUCUUCAUCACGGCCGUCGUUCUGUAUUACGUCGUCGUCCUCCCGUCCGACUGGGUGAUAAAAAGGUUGGAAGAAAACGCAGCCGAUGCGCAGCGCGAGUGUAGCGAGUGCUGGUCUAAAAUUGAUAAGAGAGCGACGCGCUGUGCAUUUUGUACGGCGAGUGUCAUUCCACAGGUCAAGUGGGGGACGGAAGUUUCGUUGUGAGAUGAUCUGUAUGUACAUAUGUAAAUACAUACAUAAGUGAUUGGUUUAAAUUUAAUAAAAUACAAUUUUAUACGGAAAAUGUGUAUGAAACUAUUCGUA
Long non-coding RNA from Folsomia candida, 1227 nucleotides. RefSeq lists it as uncharacterized. The transcript is spliced from 2 exons. The record is from RefSeq and is a predicted model, not a curated record. Lineage: Eukaryota; Metazoa; Arthropoda; Collembola; Entomobryomorpha; Isotomidae.